RNAcentral lists this ribosomal RNA (165 nucleotides) under Cenchrus echinatus. RNAcentral describes it as "5.8S ribosomal RNA". It matches the Rfam family "5.8S ribosomal RNA". Rfam says of the family: 5.8S ribosomal RNA (5.8S rRNA) is a component of the large subunit of the eukaryotic ribosome. It is transcribed by RNA polymerase I as part of the 45S precursor that also contains 18S and 28S rRNA. The record is from RNAcentral. Lineage: Eukaryota; Viridiplantae; Streptophyta; Magnoliopsida; Poales; Poaceae.
CCACACGACUCUCGGCAACGGAUAUCUCGGCUCUCGCAUCGAUGAAGAACGUAGCAAAAUGCGAUACCUGGUGUGAAUUGCAGAAUCCCGCGAACCAUCGAGUUUUUGAACGCAAGUUGCGCCCGAGGCCUUCUGGCUGAGGGCACGCCUGCCUGGGCGUCACGC